UUCGACACACUAUCAUUAACUGAAUCCAUAGGUUAAUGAGGCGAACCGGGGGAACUGAAACAUCUAAGUACCCCGAGGAAAAGAAAUCAACCGAGAUUCCCCCAGUAGCGGCGAGCGAACGGGGAGGAGCCCAGAGCCUGAAUCAGUGUGUGUGUUAGUGGAAGCGUCUGGAAAGGCGCGCGAUACAGGGUGACAGCCCCGUACACAAAAAUACACAUAUUGUGAGCUCGAUGAGUAGGGCGGGACACGUGGUAUCCUGUCUGAAUAUGGGGGGACCAUCCUCCAAGGCUAAAUACUCCUGACUGACCGAUAGUGAACCAGUACCGUGAGGGAAAGGCGAAAAGAACCCCGGCGAGGGGAGUGAAAAAGAACCUGAAACCGUGUACGUACAAGCAGUGGGAGCACGCUUAGGCGUGUGACUGCGUACCUUUUGUAUAAUGGGUCAGCGACUUAUAUUCUGUAGCAAGGUUAACCGAAUAGGGGAGCCGAAGGGAAACCGAGUCUUAACUGGGCGUUAAGUUGCAGGGUAUAGACCCGAAACCCGGUGAUCUAGCCAUGGGCAGGUUGAAGGUUGGGUAACACUAACUGGAGGACCGAACCGACUAAUGUUGAAAAAUUAGCGGAUGACUUGUGGCUGGGGGUGAAAGGCCAAUCAAACCGGGAGAUAGCUGGUUCUCCCCGAAAGCUAUUUAGGUAGCGCCUCGUGAAUUCAUCUCCGGGGGUAGAGCACUGUUUCGGCAAGGGGGUCAUCCCGACUUACCAACCCGAUGCAAACUGCGAAUACCGGAGAAUGUUAUCACGGGAGACACACGGCGGGUGCUAACGUCCGUCGUGAAGAGGGAAACAACCCAGACCGCCAGCUAAGGUCCCAAAGUCAUGGUUAAGUGGGAAACGAUGUGGGAAGGCCCAGACAGCCAGGAUGUUGGCUUAGAAGCAGCCAUCAUUUAAAGAAAGCGUAAUAGCUCACUGGUCGAGUCGGCCUGCGCGGAAGAUGUAACGGGGCUAAACCAUGCACCGAAGCUGCGGCAGCGACGCUUAUGCGUUGUUGGGUAGGGGAGCGUUCUGUAAGCCUGCGAAGGUGUGCUGUGAGGCAUGCUGGAGGUAUCAGAAGUGCGAAUGCUGACAUAAGUAACGAUAAAGCGGGUGAAAAGCCCGCUCGCCGGAAGACCAAGGGUUCCUGUCCAACGUUAAUCGGGGCAGGGUGAGUCGACCCCUAAGGCGAGGCCGAAAGGCGUAGUCGAUGGGAAACAGGUUAAUAUUCCUGUACUUGGUGUUACUGCGAAGGGGGGACGGAGAAGGCUAUGUUGGCCGGGCGACGGUUGUCCCGGUUUAAGCGUGUAGGCUGGUUUUCCAGGCAAAUCCGGAAAAUCAAGGCUGAGGCGUGAUGACGAGGCACUACGGUGCUGAAGCAACAAAUGCCCUGCUUCCAGGAAAAGCCUCUAAGCAUCAGGUAACAUCAAAUCGUACCCCAAACCGACACAGGUGGUCAGGUAGAGAAUACCAAGGCGCUUGAGAGAACUCGGGUGAAGGAACUAGGCAAAAUGGUGCCGUAACUUCGGGAGAAGGCACGCUGAUAUGUAGGUGAAGUCCCUUGCGGAUGGAGCUGAAAUCAGUCGAAGAUACCAGCUGGCUGCAACUGUUUAUUAAAAACACAGCACUGUGCAAACACGAAAGUGGACGUAUACGGUGUGACGCCUGCCCGGUGCCGGAAGGUUAAUUGAUGGGGUCAGCGCAAGCGAAGCUCUUGAUCGAAGCCCCGGUAAACGGCGGCCGUAACUAUAACGGUCCUAAGGUAGCGAAAUUCCUUGUCGGGUAAGUUCCGACCUGCACGAAUGGCGUAAUGAUGGCCAGGCUGUCUCCACCCGAGACUCAGUGAAAUUGAACUCGCUGUGAAGAUGCAGUGUACCCGCGGCAAGACGGAAAGACCCCGUGAACCUUUACUAUAGCUUGACACUGAACAUUGAGCCUUGAUGUGUAGGAUAGGUGGGAGGCUUUGAAGUGUGGACGCCAGUCUGCAUGGAGCCGGCCUUGAAAUACCACCCUUUAAUGUUUGAUGUUCUAACGUGGACCCGUGAUCCGGGUUGCGGACAGUGUCUGGUGGGUAGUUUGACUGGGGCGGUCUCCUCCUAAAGAGUAACGGAGGAGCACGAAGGUUGGCUAAUCCUGGUCGGACAUCAGGAGGUUAGUGCAAUGGCAUAAGCCAGCUUGACUGCGAGCGUGACGGCGCGAGCAGGUGCGAAAGCAGGUCAUAGUGAUCCGGUGGUUCUGAAUGGAAGGGCCAUCGCUCAACGGAUAAAAGGUACUCCGGGGAUAACAGGCUGAUACCGCCCAAGAGUUCAUAUCGACGGCGGUGUUUGGCACCUCGAUGUCGGCUCAUCACAUCCUGGGGCUGAAGUAGGUCCCAAGGGUAUGGCUGUUCGCCAUUUAAAGUGGUACGCGAGCUGGGUUUAGAACGUCGUGAGACAGUUCGGUCCCUAUCUGCCGUGGGCGCUGGAGAACUGAGGGGGGCUGCUCCUAGUACGAGAGGACCGGAGUGGACGCAUCACUGGUGUUCGGGUUGUCAUGCCAAUGGCACUGCCCGGUAGCUAAAUGCGGAAGAGAUAAGUGCUGAAAGCAUCUAAGCACGAAACUUGCCCCGAGAUGAGUUCUCCCUGACCCUUUAAGGGUCCUGAAGGAACGUUGAAGACGACGACGUUGAUAGGCCGGGUGUGUAAGCGCAGCGAUGCGUUGAGCUAACCGGUACUAAUGAACCGUGAGG
RNAcentral lists this ribosomal RNA (2758 nucleotides) under Shigella sonnei. RNAcentral describes it as "partial 23S ribosomal RNA". It matches the Rfam family "Bacterial large subunit ribosomal RNA". Lineage: Bacteria; Pseudomonadati; Pseudomonadota; Gammaproteobacteria; Enterobacterales; Enterobacteriaceae. The record is from RNAcentral.